This is a small nuclear RNA of Mustela putorius furo (domestic ferret), 107 nucleotides long. The record is from Ensembl. Lineage: Eukaryota; Metazoa; Chordata; Mammalia; Carnivora; Mustelidae.
GUGCUCGCUUUGGCAGCACGUAUACUGAAAUUGGAACGAUACAGAGAGGAUUAGCACGGCCCCUGCGCAAGGAUGACACGCAAAUUCGCGAAGCAUUACUUAUUCAA